CGCGUAGGCGGGUUCUCAAGUCCGGAGUGAAAGCCCGCGGCUCAACCGCGGAAGCGCUUUGGAUACUGGGGACCUCGAGGGAGGUAGGGGCGUGCGGAACUUCCGGUGGAGCGGCGAAAUGCGUAGAUAUCGGAAGGAACACCGGUGGCGAAAGCGGCGCGCUGGACCUCUUCUGACGCUGAGGCGCGAAAGCCAGGGGAGCAAACG
Molecule: ribosomal RNA, 207 nt
Filed under: uncultured bacterium
Lineage: Bacteria
Description: partial 16S ribosomal RNA
Rfam family: Bacterial small subunit ribosomal RNA
Source: RNAcentral